CAAAAAGUAAGUAAGGGCACAUGGCGGAUGCCUUGGCUCUCGGAGGCGAUGAAGGACGUGAUAAGCUGCGAUAAGCUGCGGGUAGGUGCAAAUGACCUUUGAUCCGCGGAUUUCCGAAUGGGACAACUCGGUACUUUGAAGAAGUAUCAUCCUGCAUUGCAGGAGGCUAACGCAGGGAACUGAAACAUCUUAGUACCUGCAGGAAAAGAAAAUAAACAAUGAUUCCCCCAGUAGUGGCGAGCGAACGGGGAAUAGCCCAAACCAUCCAUGUUACGGCAUGGGUGGGGUUGUAGGACCACGCCGUGGCAAGAAAGUUGGUGAGCAGAAUGUUCUGGAAAGUACAGCCAUAGAGCAUGACAGCUGCGUAUGCGAAGCCAAGCGAAGCCUAGUGGUAUCCUGAGUAGCGCGGAGCACGAGGAAUUCUGCGUGAAUCUGCCGGGACCAUCCGGUAAGGCUAAAUACUCCCGAGAGACCGAUAGUGAACCAGUACUGUGAAGGAAAGGUGAAAAGCACUUCGAACAGAAGAGUGAAAUAGUUCCUGAAACCAUGUGCCUACAAGCGGUCGGAGCACCUUCUGGUGUGACGGCGUGCCUUUUGCAUAAUGAACCUACGAGUUACUUUUUCCGGCGAGGUUAAGGAUUUCAGAUCUGCAGCCGAAGCGAAAGCGAGUCUGAACAGGGCGUAUAGUCGGAAGGAGUAGACGCGAAACCAAGUGAUCUACCCUUGGGCAGGUUGAAGGAUGGGUAACACCAUCUGGAGGACCGAACCAAUAAGCGUUGAAAAGCUUCUGGAUGACCUGAGGGUGGGGGUGAAAGGCUAAUCAAACUUGGAGAUAGCUCGUACUCCCCGAAAUGCAUUUAGGUGCAGCCUUGACUUAUACUGGCAUGAGGUAGAGCGACUGAUAAGAUGCGAGGGCUUCACCGCCUAUCAAGUCUUGACAAACUCCGAAUGCGUGUCAGUUCUAUGUCAGGAGUGAGGGCAUGGGUGCUAAGGUCCAUGUCCUAAAGGAGAACAAUCCGGACCAACAGCUAAGGUCCCGAAAUGAAUACUAAGUUGAACUAACGAAGUCAGAUUGCUAAGACAGCUAGGAUGUUGGCUUGGAAGCAGCCAUUCAUUUAAAGAGUGCGUAACAGCUCACUAGUCGAGGAGUUUGGCGUGGAUAAUAAUCGGGCAUAAGUAUUCUACCGAAGCUUUGGGAUGAGAAAUCAUCGGUAGGGGAGCAUUCCACUCGGCGUCGAAGGUGAAGCGCGAGCUUUGCUGGAGCGUGUGGAAAAGCAAAUGUAGGUAUAAGUAACGAUAAAGGGGGUGGGAAACCCCCUCGCCGAAAGACUAAGGUUUCCUGAUCAACGCUAAUCGGAUCAGGGUAAGUCGGGUCCUAAGGCUCAGCCGAACGGCGAGGCCGAUGGCAGAACCGGUUAAUAUUCCGGUACUACCUGUGGGAGUGACGUGGAGACGGAGUCGUGACAGCGCCGCGGACUGACGGAAUAGUCCGUUGAAGGGUGUAGAUGCUGAUUGUUCCAGGCAAAUCCGGAGCAAGAGUCGAACCUGAUAGUAUGGAGCGUUCUUAGAACAAUCCAAUAGUGCGUGUAAUCAUACUUCCAAGAAAAUCCGCUAAACUUAAUCCUGCAGGUACCCGUACCGCAAACGGACACACGUAGUCGGGUUGAAUAUACUAAGGCGCUUGAGUGAUUCACGGUUAAGGAACUAGGCAAACUGACCCUGUAACUUCGGGAUAAAGGGUCCUCGCUUUACGGCGAGGCGCAGAGAAUAGGUCCAGGCAACUGUUUAACAAAAACACAGGGCUGUGCAAAAUUGAAAGAUGAAGUAUACAGCCUGACACCUGCCCGGUGCUGGAAGGUUAAGAGGAGAUGUCAUCGCAAGAGAAGCAUUGAAUUGAAGCCCCAGUAAACGGCGGCCGUAACUAUAACGGUCCUAAGGUAGCGAAAUUCCU
RNAcentral lists this ribosomal RNA (1951 nucleotides) under Bacteroides uniformis. Its description in RNAcentral is "partial 23S ribosomal RNA". It matches the Rfam family "Bacterial large subunit ribosomal RNA", at positions 1 to 1969 of the family's 2925-position model. The record is from RNAcentral. Lineage: Bacteria; Pseudomonadati; Bacteroidota; Bacteroidia; Bacteroidales; Bacteroidaceae.